AGCGAACGUUUGCGGCGGGCCUAACACAUGCAAGUCGAACGAGAAUCUCUUCGGAGAGGAAAGUGGCGCACGGGUGCGUAACACGUGGAUAACCAACCCCCUGGUUCGGGAUAACAUCGGGAAACUGGUGCUAAUACCGGGUGUGUCCGCGAGGCCAACAGGCUUUGCGGAGAAAGACACGCAAGGGUCGCCAGGGGACGGGUCCGCGUCCCAUCAGCUAGUUGGUGAGGUAAUGGCUCACCAAGGCGAAGACGGGUAGCUGGUCUGAGAGGAUGAUCAGCACACUGGAACUGAGACACGGUCCAGACUCCUACGGGAGGCAGCAGUGGGGAAUAUUGCGCAAUGGGCGAAAGCCUGACGCAGCCACGCCGCGUGAGCGAUGAAGGUCUUAGGAUCGUAAAGCUCUGUGGAGGGAGAAGAAGAAAGCCGGUGAAGAGCCGGCCUUGACGGUAUCCCUUUAGCAAGCACCGGCUAACUCCGUGCCAGCAGCCGCGGUAAUAC
RNAcentral lists this ribosomal RNA (501 nucleotides) under uncultured bacterium. RNAcentral's name for it is "bacterial SSU rRNA". It matches the Rfam family "Bacterial small subunit ribosomal RNA", at positions 29 to 526 of the family's 1533-position model. The record is from RNAcentral.